This 698-nucleotide long non-coding RNA is filed under the name Monodelphis domestica (gray short-tailed opossum). RNAcentral describes it as "lncRNA (ENSMODG00000035755.2)". The record is from RNAcentral. Lineage: Eukaryota; Metazoa; Chordata; Mammalia; Didelphimorphia; Didelphidae.
UGCCAUCAUUCCCCCCUGCAUGGAUUUCCUGCCUCUUUCUUUUUUGUCUUCCUACAGCCUUCCUAUCCUGCAAGGGUCAGCUCAAGUCUCAGUUCUGUGGCACUCGUCAUUCUUUCUAGUUCACGGGAUUUUCUCUCUCUUCUGAACUCCUAUAGAAACGAGAACCAGUGAUAUCACAAGAAUGAUGUCUUGACUUGAAGAGCUUGGCUUCUAUUUAAAGUGAGGCAGAGUUGCACAAAGUCAUCGACCUCCUUCUCUCUCUUCCGGAGCCACUGAAAGUCCAAUGGCAAGACAAAAGUCAGGAUGACUAGUGAUGGCCUGGGAUGCAGUGGAUGACCUUGAUGUCUUCAGUGUCUGACUUCAGUGUCUCUAGGUGCUUCAUAAUGCCUGCUUCAGUCACCUUUAUGGCUGUUGCCCUCUGCCCACUCCACUAAGGACAGGAACUAGGGCACAUUUAUCUGAAACGGAUUUGUGUGAUGGAAACAUUUCCAGCUGUACCAGUGCUGUAACAUCUACACCCAAAUUAGCUCAUGAGUCAAGAUAUCUCGCUUGGUUAUUACAUUUAUUGCAUCAAUUAUCUACAAAUGAAAUACAGCUGCGUUGUCUAUUGCCCCAGUUUCAAGCAUCCACUUAAUGAGCUUCAGAACUGGUGCAUUUGAUGACAACAAAUAAAAAGAGAACUUAAUCUUCCCUUGUAC